AAAUAUAUACUAUAAAAAUAGAUUUUAAAAGCAUGACCAAAUAACUAAAAUUAACCAAACAGCACGUAGAUACUAAAUAUGUGCUCUAUUCAUUCUAGAAUGAAAUCUUUCCUAUUUGUGGUACCUUUGAAAUGUCUCACAAAACACGGUGCUUCUUACAACACAACCAAGUAUUUUGGAUUAUUUAUACAAACAAGAAACCGCUCAAGGCAGGCAAGUGACAGUGGGCAUUUCUAACUCCUGUGUGCAGUCAUCAGCAUAUAUUGAAGGCAGUGCUGAAUAGUAGUCAAUAACUGUAAAGGCUUUGGAAUGUUAAUAUCCCAGUUUGAAUCUGCAUUCUAUCACGGUUUUGCUGUGUGAUUUGAGCAAAUGACAACCUGAGCCUCAGUUUUCUUACCUCAAUUAAUUCUCACAAUAACUCUAAGCAGUGGGUAUCUUAAGGAUACCUAAAUUUAUGGAAAUUAAAUAGCUUGCCCAAAUUCUUGCAGCUAACAGAGCAUAUGUAAAUCCAGAUCUCAUGCUGGAGAUUAUAACUUUAUUUUCUUCUUUGUGUGCAAUAGCUAUUUAAUCCACAGUCUAUUGCAUUUUCAAAAACAAACCAUGUUAUUGCAAUUCCUAUUGAAAAAGUCCCUGUCCUCCCUUGUUGAAAGUUAAUGGAUCUCCCCUAAACAGAACUCAUCUCUUCACUCCAAUUACUAUUUAUAACUGAAGCUUCUCCUGAAGAUAGUAGUUCCAGGAACACAAACUACAGCAUACACAGUUUGGAGUUGCUAGAUGGGAGAUACACCCAGGAACACACAAUGUCACGGGCAUCUGCUGUAGGUUGAGUAGCAGCUAUCUUACAGCUGUAGGAAACCUAACUCUGACAGCAGGGAAGCAUUUGCAAAUUUCAAACUAGCAACCUUUAAAUGUGACUAUCUGGGGCAUUUCCCACUUAUCCUGCUGUGUCAUUUACUUGAGUUCUUAUUUAGUGCCAGACCUUAUGCUGUUAACACAUGCUCUUAAUGACAGUCAUUUACUUUCUGACACAUUUCAGUUUCUCGACAUUAAUAAUGUGCAGAUAAUGUGAGAUAGAAAAAGCAUAGUGAAAUUAGACGGAAAAUGGGUUUGAAUCCGAACUUAAUUCUUCAUGAAGUGUAUAAAGAUGAACAAAUUGUCAAUAGAUUCUGAGUCUCAUUCAUCACUUGUAAAUGAGAAAAAUUACUACCUUGUAGAAUUGCUGUGAGGAUUACUGAUAAUGUAUAUAACAUGCACACAACAGAUAGCAUUCAGUAAAUGGCAGCUAGUAUUAAAUAGAAAUGUAAAAUGUCCCUUGAACAGCAUCUUCUUGGGAUCAUCUGGCAAAGUUUAAAUCAGAAUCCAGAACAAGAUGCUUAAUUAUCAGUAGCAGAGUUCGCGUAGAGGACACGCUACAAAGGAACAGCAUGUGCAAAGGCACAGAGAAGUCUGCUAUGGAAUUGCCUGUAGCUCAGUACAGGUAAAUAAAGUGUAAGUGGAGAAAUGUUACGGGUCGAGACUAAAGAGCCUGAAAUGCAGGUGGAGACCUGCUUUACAGUAUUACAGAACCAAGUGCCUCAUAUGCUUUGCACAAGUCAGGGCUUCAAGAGAGAGGGAAACGAUGAACUAAAUAUAGUAAGUUUAGUACUUUCAAAAAGUAUAUGAAUAUAUGUAUUGCAAUGUUCUGUAACGGACAAAUGAUUUCGAAUGCAGACAAGGAGAACUGAGGCAAAACUAACAGGCAGCAGCGACUGCCCGCUCAUAGCUGCCAGAGAUACUAUCCUGCAGGUUUUUUUCAGAGGUAAGAACAGGAAAGACGAGAGAACACGAGAAAACCAGCAAUUAAACGGCAAGCAAAGGAAUAACCACCAAGCAAUGAGUGAUCCAACCAAGAUUUAUGUAGAAGGAUGCUAAUUGCAACAAUAAGUGUUACAUUUAAAAGAGAAAAACUGGAAACAACUCUAGGAUCCAACAAUGGAGAAAAUGGUUAAAUAAUGCAUUAUUCCAGUUGGAGAUAUAAAGCAGAGAACCAUCAUUCUCAAAACUGUUCUGAGAGUCAGCAUGUCACCUCUUUCACUCCUCAAGCCUUCAGAAUUCCAAUGCUAAACAUUUCUCUGGCAUCUAAGGAACAAAACGUUCAGGAUAGAAAGGCUGUGAUACUACCCUGCUAGUAUCAAUCCACAUGCACCAGGUCCUGCUGAAGUGUUAAAUAGGUUGAUACAGGGAUGGAAUAAAACAAUAAAGUGUCUGAGAGAACUUCUGAGGAAAUAAUACUGUGCACCGCUUCUAGGGAAGGUGGCCCCUAGCUCUGCAUGACUAACAGCAGCCAUCACAGACACCAUGGCACAAGCAGCCCAAAUACUCAGGGAGACCCCACAUUGAGUGAGUUGUAUUUUAAUGCCCCUUCAGGAGAAACAAAUAUGCCUGUACCUAUUUUGAUACUGAAUAACAAAUUUGUUCCAUGGAAAUGUCCUAUUACUCAUUGA
Molecule: long non-coding RNA, 2483 nt
Filed under: Homo sapiens (human)
Lineage: Eukaryota; Metazoa; Chordata; Mammalia; Primates; Hominidae
Description: HSALNT0348116
Source: RNAcentral